RNAcentral lists this unclassified non-coding RNA (200 nucleotides) under Pleosporales sp. Its description in RNAcentral is "partial internal transcribed spacer 2". Lineage: Eukaryota; Fungi; Ascomycota; Dothideomycetes; Pleosporales. The record is from RNAcentral.
UUAAGUUCAGCGGGUAUCCCUACCUGAUCCGAGGUCAAGCGUAAAAAGGGUAGACUUUGUGGAUGCCACCGCCCCAAGGCGGAAGCGCAAAAUGUGCUGCGCUCCCACCCAGGACGGCUGGCUGCCAAUGCAUUUGAGGCGAGUUCGCGCGCGCAGCGGAACAAACGCCCCAACACCAGCAGGGCUGGAGGGUACAAAUG